GGCCUCUGGAGAUGUCACAGAGGCAGAUCUUCUGCCACUUCACUCGGAGGUGUGUUGCCUAGGAGCUGGGUUGUCUUCUCCGCCGAGCAGAGUCUUGUAACCUCCACCUCCCGCUGCGUCCUGUGUGCUGCUGGCUGGAGAAGGGGCCUGGGAAGGAGCCAGAUUCCAUGAGUUAAAUGCAGAUCUGAACCAUACCGAACUGGGAUUAAAGUACACACCCUCCUAUUCUGAGAAGUAGCUAAGGAUUCCAACUUGGUGUGGUGGAGAGUGUGGCAGAGCCAGACCAGACAAGGACUGAUCACCUGGAGAAGCAUGCUGUUCAAAGGCCUUGUUCUGAAGGCCAGAAUUCUAAUGUCAGUCCCACUGACUCAAGGUGGGAGCAGGGCAGGUACCUUCCCAGGCUCCGUAGGAGAAUGAGUUUCCCGGCCCUGGAGGCUUCCUGCACUCCUCAGCUUGUGCUGCCCUUCUUGAAUGACUCGAGGUUCCUGUUUCCAUCACUACACUUCCCAUCCCUCUCCAUCACCUGCUCUGCUGUGAUAAGGAUCUGGGCUGGCUGCAGUCUUUGUUCCCUGCAACAUUUGUCUCCUGGGUUCAAGUGA
Molecule: long non-coding RNA, 599 nt
Filed under: Callithrix jacchus (white-tufted-ear marmoset)
Lineage: Eukaryota; Metazoa; Chordata; Mammalia; Primates; Cebidae
Description: lncRNA (ENSCJAG00000056607.2)
Source: RNAcentral